Molecule: long non-coding RNA, 3657 nt
Filed under: Homo sapiens (human)
Lineage: Eukaryota; Metazoa; Chordata; Mammalia; Primates; Hominidae
Description: HSALNT0351915
Source: RNAcentral
GCUGGGAGGUCAGACCCUGUGAGGGCUGUGGGGGCAUCAGGCGCAGUGGGCUCCAGGUGCACCCUCAAUGCACUGGGCAGGUCUCAGGCCAGGCUCCCUGGACCCCGGCUGGGUGAUGUGGUCACUCCCUGGGGGACUGCUGUCAGGCACCGGGCACCCACCAUGGGCAGCACUGUCCCAUCUCAGGACUGGACUUUCUCAGAUCCUGCAGAGGGCACAGCCUCCAGCCCAGGAGGGGCAGCCCCAUGGUGCAGCUGGAGCUCUCCAUUGGCCUGGAGUGUCCCCUGCCAGCCCUGUACUCCCUCUUCUCCUGGGUCCCGCUUUUGCAGUGUCAGGAAGCAGAGGGGCUCCGUCCUCCCUUCCCUAUGUGUCUCCUGGGCUGAAGCUUGCAGUGGACUGGGACAGGGAUGGUGCUUCCCUCAGGCCCAUUUAGGGAGGGGACUGGCUCCCAGCCUUGGCACAGGUCCUCAGCUCUGCCUUGGUUGCCUCAGAGUGAGCAGGAUCAGUCAGUGCCCUGAAGGUAGAGCUAAGAGACUGUCCUUGCUGUGUGGGAGGCUGGUCUAGGGAUGGAGGACUUAACGGGUCCUCCCAGUCUGUCAGGCCUGGACAGUACUGUCCUGUCUCAGACUGCAGAAAUUCCAGUCCUGAGAUAGGACGGUGCUGCCCAGGGUGGGUGGCCAGGGCCUGACAGCAGUCCCCCAGGGAGUGACCACAUCACCCAGCCGGGGUCCAGGGAGCCUGGCCUGAGACCUGCCCAGUGCAUUGAGGGUGCACCUGGAGCCCACUCCGCCUGAUGCCCCCACAGCCCUCGCAGGGUCUGACCUCCCAGCAUGCACCUGCCCCUCCCUGCACCCCAGAUGUCCACCCUACCUGUUCCCUGACUUCCUCCAUCCUGUCCAGCAGGAUGGGCUGGACAGUGGGACAGCCUGUGUGCACAUUUUGUGGCAAGUAGGAGUGACACACCAUCCCUGGGAGGCACCAUGGUUCCUGCCAAACCCAACCCCAGAACUCUGUCCCUGAGGUGGUUUUACCAAAACCCAAAACCCAGAAUUGUGCUUGUGGCUCAGGGGUCAGCACCUGCUAGUACCAGGACACUACUGGGAGGCUGGGACCUGACCGAAGCCCAUGGUGUCUGUGGCCUGAGGACAGGGUGUGUUGGGGCCAUAAGUCCCGGCCACCAAUGGCCAUUGGGUCCUAGGGCCUCAGCCCCAGUGUUUGCCCUUCCCUGGCUCCUUCUGGUUCAGUCCCAUUAGGGCCCUGGAGCCCAAGACCCAGCACCCAAGGUCCCCUCCAGGAAUACUGGCGGCUUGGCUUCCUUUAUCAUGUUUCAUCUGAGAGCAAAAAUGUCAGAUCGGAUGCACAGAAAAAUGGCCCAAAUUGUUUAAUAACUAGAAGAAAUAUAGGAGCAGCAAGAGGGUAAUAUGGAGAGGGGAGGGCCUCCAUGACCGGUGUCUGCAGAGCCAGGGGUACAGGCACCCAGUGUUGUGGCCUGGCACCACCGGCCUCUCAGAGCGUGGGUGGCCCACUGUCUUUACCCGGAGGACAGCAGGCCUGAUCACCAGCUUUUCUACCUGUCCCUGUAAGCAUCACGUUGCUAGAAGAAAAUCUCAUGCCAGAGCUUGCACCAUCCCUAGCUUGGGGGUUAGGGGUUGUCUCUUGGUGACCUAAAUGAAAAAAUAGGUCCAGAUCAGAGUUCCUGACGCAGAGCACUCACCCACUCUUUGAAUCGUGGGAGGGGAGGCCUGGUUUUAGUUAAACCUAACCUCUUUGAGGAACCACAGAGCCCAAGACUGGAAGCCUUCAGAAUCUUCUGGCCCCCAACCCUCCCUGGGGACCCCUGUGGCCUGUCUCACCAGAGCACUCUUCUGUCUGUAGAUGUCUCAGCUGCUCUACAAGGGAGUCCCAUUUCAGGUGUGGGGCUGGGCAUGGUCACUCCUGCUGGAUGUCUAGAAGGUGGAAACUAAGGACCUAGGAAAAUGCCAGAUACAGCCUUUCCACCCUCAUCCAGAGCAGGACAAACAGGCCCGGUGGUGUCAGGAGCCCAGGUCUCCAGCUGGAGGGAACGUCAACCCUGCAGUGGGAGCAGGGGCCCAUCGCACAUCCUAGGCACAGAUGCUAAUGCAGGCACUGCAGACCAUAAAGGAGAACAGCAAGAAGCCCCCAGCAAACAUCCACAUAUGGCCCUGGACAUCAGCCACAUUCUGAGGAACAUGUCAUGUUCUGGGAGGGCUAAGGCAUCAACCUUACCCUGUAGGAAUUCUAGUGACUAUGUUGCCACCAUCUUGGAGCUCCAUGCCCUCAUAGUGUAAUGGCACCAGCAGAUCUGCCUGUGCACAGACUUCCUGUACUACCUCACUCCUGAGGGGAGAUGCUUCUGCGGGCCUGCGACCUGGUGCUCAACUUUAGACACCAUCAUCCUGGAGCGGCACUGCACCCUCACUAGCCAGGGUGUUGACGUCCUCAAGGCCAAGGCCACAUUCAAGACUUUGGACUUCAUUGAUGCACUUGUGCCGAGCAAGGUGGGCAUCUCUGGGAUCUUAAUUCAGGAGGUAGAAUGCAGCUUGAGAUCAAGUGUCUGAUCAAAGAACUUGAACUUGAUCUGGAGGGCUCUGGGGAGCCAUGGAAGGUUCUGGAUAAAGGAGGGACAGUCAGCCACGUUUUAGAGAUGACUGUGGAAGGCUUCCUGGAAGGAGUGAACAACAGCCAGGAGACCAGGGAGGGAGCUUGUCGGGCAGGUCUGGAGAUGGCAAGGGAGGGAUCCUGCUUGGAUGAAAAGUCUUUAGGGACCAUCUCAGGUUACUCUCAGGUGCCCUCUGAGUUAGUGUGUUCUAAGUAAGGGGUUCUAAGCCUCCUAUUGUGGCUCAUCCCUGACAGUGUCAGCACCAGCUAGCUCCCCUAACCCCACAGCUCAGGGUCCACUUUGCUUCUGCAUCCUGCAUGUUCCUUUUCCUGCUGAAAAGCAGAUUCCCCAGCGAGCAGCAGAAUCCUGUUUCUCCCUGUAGGCCCCUCUGCUCCUUAUGAGUGGUGUUUUGUGGGAUUCCUCCCUUGGUUUUGGAUGAGAACACCCUUUCCCAUUCCACAGGGAUUGUUUCUGUGGACCUUAUCCCAGGUUUUCCCCUGGUCGGGCACCGGGCAGGUGGGGGUGGUGGGACCAACUUUUUAGAACCAGCAAUGCCAAACAGAUCCCACUCAGGGAAAGUCCAUGCUAAGUGUCAUGGGUCCUAUGGAAUUUUCUGAAGCUUUCCUUUUCUCCCCCACCUUCAACCAGCUUAUCUGAUCUUCUGGGAUCUCUACUAGGAUGCUGGCAGCCCAGCCAGCUGGUCUGGCCCUGGACGUGCCUUCAGGGGCUGGGUAUGCUUCAUGACCUGUGUUUUGAUCCUGGUUGGAGUAAAACAUUCCAUGGGAACUCGGGCUGUGAGAAAUGUCCUAACCACCUGACUGCAGAAACAUCCUUAUCACAUCCUGCUGGGCAAAGGCCCAACAGCCUGACUUCAGGAACAUCCUUAUCAUCUUCUACUGAGCAGCAAGCUAUACUGUCCAGAGCCCUCCCUCCCAGCGCUAUGAUUACCCCAGCCUGUGAGCGGCAGUGGGCACUGACACUAAGCUGGUUUCCCCCUCCGCAGGGUUUUGCUAGUAAUAAACCUGUGUUGCUGUUGA